GACGAACGCUGGCGGCGUGCUUAACACAUGCAAGUCGAACGGAAAGGCCCCCACCUUGGUGGGGGUGCUCGAGUGGCGAACGGGUGAGUAACACGUGGGUGAUCUGCCCUGUACUUCGGGAUAAGCUUGGGAAACUGGGUCUAAUACCGGAUAGGACCAUGGUUUAGUGUCUCAUGGUGGAAAAAUUAUUGUUUUGGUGCAGGAUGAGGUCGCGGCCUAUCAGCUUGUUGGUGGGGUAAUGGCCUACCAAGGCGUCGACGGGUAGCCGGCCUGAGAGGGUGGACGGCCACAUUGGGACUGAGAUACGGCCCAGACUCCUACGGGAGGCAGCAGUGGGGAAUAUUGCACAAUGGGCGCAAGCCUGAUGCAGCGACGCCGCGUGGGGGAUGACGGCCUUCGGGUUGUAAACUCCUUUCGUUAGGGACGAAGCCACACCUUUUUUGGGUGUGGUGACGGUACCUUUGUUAAGAAGCACCGGCUAACUACGUG
RNAcentral lists this ribosomal RNA (489 nucleotides) under uncultured bacterium. Its description in RNAcentral is "partial 16S ribosomal RNA". It matches the Rfam family "Bacterial small subunit ribosomal RNA", at positions 28 to 507 of the family's 1533-position model. The record is from RNAcentral.